Molecule: long non-coding RNA, 777 nt
Organism: Homo sapiens (human)
Lineage: Eukaryota; Metazoa; Chordata; Mammalia; Primates; Hominidae
Source: Ensembl
ACAGUUAAGUGACAAGGACCAGUGUUCCUAUCCAAGGCUUUCUGAUUUCAUAGCCCCCACUCUCAACCAUUAAUACCAACUGUCUACGUGGGAAGCCUUGGGGACCAGAAGCGCCGUCUGAAACUUCAGCCACGGCGUCUAAGGUGUCUAACGUCCUUUUCACGACCGUCGCCUGCUCAAAUCUGCCCUUGAAACUCUGAGAGACAGGGGUCCCGUUUCUGGCCCUGACUUGCCCCUGGCUUCCUGUGCAGCUAAAUUCACAUCAAGCCAAGGGGACAGACGGCGGACUCGAGACAGAAGACGCCGACGGUUUACCCCUUACCCCCUUCCUGGUAAAAGUAUACUGAGUCCCAUCCCACCUCUACUCCACUGUCACCCCUCAGGCGGGUCCAAGGUCAGGGAUGGCACAGGCCCUCACCCCCUCGUUGAUGUGGUCGUAGAUAGCGUCCGCGCCUUGAUCGAAGGCGCGCUCGAAGAACAUGACGCCCACGAUGAUGGUGAGGGCGAAGGUGGAGGUCCUGCGGAACAGCAGGGAGUACAAUUUCGAAGUCAACGUCGCGGCCGCCAUGUUUCUUCACAGUCCAACUCGCGCCACCGCGCCUGCGCUGGGGCCGACCUCGUUCCCCAAAGGCCCUAGACGUGCAACACUUUAUGGGAUUUGUAGUUCCUCUGAAUCUCAGCCUUCGUGUUUUGAACCACAGAGAAUUCCUGGCUGUUAGAAUAUGUCAAACUACAACUCCCAGAAGCCCUCGCGCGCCAUCACCUUCUCCCCGCCCU